Molecule: long non-coding RNA, 1080 nt
Organism: Oncorhynchus tshawytscha (Chinook salmon)
Lineage: Eukaryota; Metazoa; Chordata; Actinopteri; Salmoniformes; Salmonidae
Source: Ensembl
AUCUAAUCUAGUUUGCCUGCCCUCUGAUCAUGCAGGUAACAUCAGUGGAUCAGUUCUCUAUAUGUUGUCAAGGGGGAAGGAUACUGACGAUCAAAAAACAAUGUACAGAAAUACUGAGAUUUUUUUUAAAGUACAUUUUUAAAAAGCACGAGUAAAAAACACUGACCAAGCUCUGUCCCACUCUCAAAAUAAUAUCACCCAGUAAUACACGUACAACACCGCUCAUUCAGCUCUCCUCUCCUUCUUUCCAGCUCAUCCUCCACUCUCACCCCAAUCUUGGUCAAGUUACCUUCAACCAUUGGCAAUGGCAUCAUCAAGUCCUUCUUCCCUUCUCCCCACCUGGGUUCUUAAUAUGACUGCCCCAUCUGGUGGCGGAGUGCUGGAACAACAACUCUUUUUUUCCGGGCCAGACUGGGGAGUUUCUCUUGAAUCCACAGGUAAAUUGUGGGAAAGUCAUUGGUUGGCCACACUCCAGGUGGCUGGGGGGAUCAAAUGCAGCUGGUUGGAUGGCAGCGGUGGGUACAGUUGGUAGCCCCCCUCAACUGGAGACUCUGAAACAGAAGAGACGGAAAGAGAGGAGUAGACACACUGUGAUCUUGGAAAUCAAAGCUCUUUACUAAAACGUACUUGUUUUAGUGAGUGAGAACGAUCAUAGUUUUAGUAAGUAAGACACUUGUUUUGCUGUUCCACUACAUGCCAUUCUAAUCUGUCGUGCUGUGAGCCACUGACCUGUGUGUUCCUCAGGCAGCAACAGGUGUCUUCUACAGGGGCAGGGUGGUCUGGCUGGGAGCCUCCUGACUUGUGUGUUCCUCAGGCAGCAACAGGUGUCUUCUACAGGGGCAGGGUGGUCUGGCUGGGAGCCUCCUGACCUGUGUUUUCCUCAGGCAGCAGCAGGUGUCUUCUACAGGGGCAGGGUGGUCUGGCUGGGAGCCUCCUGACCUGUGUGUUCCUCAGGCAGCAGCAGGUGUCUUCUACAGGGGCAGGGUGGUCUGGCUGGGAGCCUCCUGACCGGUGUGUUCCUCAGGCAGCAGCAGGUGUCUUCUACAGGGGCAGGGUGGUCUGGCUGGGAGCCUCCUGACC